CUUGGUCAUUUAGAGGAGUAAAAGUCGUAACAAGGUUUCCGUAGGUGAACCUGCGGAAGGAUCAUUCAUAAUAAGUGUUUUAUGGCACUUUUUAAAUCCAUAUCCACCUUGUGUGCAAUGUCAGUCGUUCUCUUCUAUGGGAACGACCAAACAUCAACCAACUCUUUAACUCUUUGUCUGAAAAAUAUUACGAAUAAAAUAAUUCAAAAUACAACUUUCAACAACGGAUCUCUUGGCUCUCGCAUCGAUGAAGAACGCAGCGAAAUGCGAUACGUAAUGUGAAUUGCAGAAUUCAGUGAAUCAUCGAAUCUUUGAGCGCAUAUUGCGCUCUUUGGUAUUCCGAAGAGCAUGCUUGUUUGAGUAUCAGUAAACACCUCAAAUCCUUCAAUUUGUUUUGAAGGCUUUGGACUUGAGCAAUCCCAACACCAGUCUUUACGAUCGGUGGAGGGUUGCUUGAAAUGCAGGUGCAGCUGGACAUUCUCCUGAGCUAUAAGCAUAUUUAUUUAGUCCCGUCAAACGGAUUAUUACUUUUGCUGCAGCUAACAUAAAGGGAGUCUGACCAUAUUGGCUGACUGAUGCAGGAUUUCACAAGGGUCGGCAACGAUUCUUGUAAAACUCGAUCUCAAAUCAAGUAAGACUACCCGCUGAACUUAAGCAUAUCAAUAAGCGGGAGGAA
This 676-nucleotide ribosomal RNA is filed under the name uncultured fungus. RNAcentral describes it as "eukaryotic LSU rRNA". The stretch from base 213 to 366 matches the Rfam family "5.8S ribosomal RNA". Lineage: Eukaryota; Fungi. The record is from RNAcentral.